AAUUAGGGACAGCCUGCAAGCGCACUGCAAAGCCGUGUUAAGACCCCGAAACGAGUAAGGACCCCUCACCCUAUUUCCUAUCACGGUAUUAAAGCUCAAAAUGAUAAAACGGUAUUUCUUGAAUUAACGAAUGUGUGAAAUUGCUUAAGGUUGCUAAUGGAGCCCGAGUCUAGUGUGAUCGAUGAUUUACUGUUAUUUGGCCUGUUUUACAGUAUGAGGUUU
RNAcentral lists this long non-coding RNA (222 nucleotides) under Carica papaya (papaya). RNAcentral describes it as "long non-coding RNA (CPAP_LNC015673)". The record is from RNAcentral. Lineage: Eukaryota; Viridiplantae; Streptophyta; Magnoliopsida; Brassicales; Caricaceae.